GCUGAGUGUAGAGGAGCUGCUAUAGGAUAAUGCAAAUCCUCCGCUGCGGUCCCCUCCCAUUGGCCCGUCACACCUCUGAGUGGGAGGGUCGCGGUCCACGCCGCCUUUAUAAGUGCAGAUUGCCUUCCAGCGCCUCAGUGACACUGCGUGGUUGCCCAAGAAGCUCUUAAAGCAAUUUGAGGGCCUUUAGAGGAAAAAAACAAUUGGAAUUUAUCACCUCUUGCAUAAUAAUCCUCUCACACACAGUCCCACACAUAAGACCGACAGAGUGCGCCGGUGAAGGGGGACUGCACCGUGAGUAGACGCCGCUUGAGUGAAAUAUCUGGACUGAGCACAACUCCAGCGGGCCACACUUCCCUGUCCUCGCGUUGGGAGAACCAUCUGCAACUUAAGCUUCAUCUCGAGUUCAAACGAACUUUAAGAACUUGUGCACGUGUCCUUCCGUUUGGAGUCCCCGGGACGCUCGUGGCCCUUCUUGACGCGCGCCUGCGCAGCCCGCUGUGACGGACGCACGCUGCUGCGAGCGCGCUAGAAACUUUAAAUCACGGCCAUGCUGCAGUGACCUCAGCGUCGAGCUGCAAACGAAAGGAUGCCCGCAAAACAUCUGUAGGAGUCCGGACGGAGGACUCCGCAGAGCCGAACGGAGGACGGUCAACCACGCGGAGGCGAGCGGGCUGCAGAGGUAAAGCGAGGACAGGACGGGCUGCUGUCUCCAAAUUCGCCAGGCUCGAGUUUCAGCCGCUUCGGGGGCUCCUGCAUUUGACCUGGGAUAAGUUGUCAACAAGCGCUUCGAGCGGAGGCGCACUGGCAGCAUGCACAUCGUCUAUGGUAUCCUCCUACUGAACAUGUGUAACGUCAAAGGCGAACCUAUACUGCACUAAGAAGAGAUCAGACUGGACGAGCGCUGCGUUUUCUAACCACAGGACCUUUGAUCUGGUACUUUCUUAAAUCCUGGGUGUAGAUUUGACGAGGUGAGCUUUAGUCAUUUAGUGUAUCAGACGGAUAAGGAUUGCAUUCGCUGCUAAAACUCUAUGCACCAACACGAUCGUUAAUAAGAGUUAAUUUUUUUUACUUUAAAUAUUUGCAGACACAUUUCCGCAGAGCCUGCGCGUCCACUCUGCAGCUCUGCGUCUUAAUGAGAGCUUGUCUGUUAGGAGGAUGCUUGAUUGACUGAAUGACUUUUUGCCUGGUGGGAGCGAAGGAGGAACUUGAUGCAUUAUUCUGUCAACAAGAAAUCUCUGGCUCGUGUGCUUCCUGCUGCCUAGAUAUAUGUGCAAUAUUGUGCAGAAGUGUCCGAUGUUGAGCCUACCUGUUGGACGGCGACGGCGCGCAGGAAGAGAGGUUGAACACGUUAAAAGUCCGAUCGGAAGCAACGGAGGAGCAACUAAAACCUUUCAAUAAACGGCUGUUGCUUAUUUCUGGCUGCCCGAAU
This 1432-nucleotide long non-coding RNA is filed under the name Betta splendens (Siamese fighting fish). RNAcentral's name for it is "lncRNA (ENSBSLG00000016184.1)". The record is from RNAcentral. Lineage: Eukaryota; Metazoa; Chordata; Actinopteri; Anabantiformes; Osphronemidae.